UGUUUUCAAAUUAAAACACUGGAAAACCCCACAAUGGUCUUACUGUAGAAACAUACCAGGGAAAAUCUGUAGAAGUAGAUUUAAUGAAAUCCUUUGGCCUGAGAGAAACAAUGCAGCAUUAGUUUCCAUAAUGACUGCUCUUUUCUGAAUUCACUAGUGUUUAAACGUACCUCUGGGGCUCUGGAAACAGGAUCAAUACCCAACCUAAUGAAGUAACUGAAGUCUGCAUGUAGGAUGAGAUUUACCUCUAGAGUUGAAGAGCUGGCCAAAGGUCUCUUUUGUUUAGAUGGAACCAAGAGUUUUUUCUGACCCUCCACACUGUAUUAAUCUAACCUUGAGGAAAACCUUUCUGCAGUCUUCACAUUUCACAAGAGAUGGCUCCUGGAUAUUUGUCUUCCUGAAGUUUUGCUAUGCCACCUGUUACCUGAAUGUUUAAGUGCAUCAUGUUUCUCUUCCACAACAGCAGCUUGCAGUCUGCUAAGAAGGAGUAAGCAGUCUCAGUUUUCAAGAUGGUACAAGUAUUUUACUUGGUUCAGUUUCUAGAAAACGUAUGACAAGUAUGUCUUUUUGCCUCUCUUCUUUCUCCAUUCAAGAAGAGGGAAUAAUCAAACUGCUAGGAAUUUUCUCUGUGUUUUGUAAAUAUUCUAAAUGUUUUCUUCUAGUACAUAUUGAUAUCCAAUAAAAAUAAAUCAUUUUUAUAAAUAAUUAGGUACAUAUUCUGGAUACAGUUUUUUUCAAUUGAAUUUCAAAUUCAAUUUUUGCUUUAACAGUUGAGUAGAAUCAAAGACUCAUAGCAUAUUCCUAAGAUUGCCUUUAAAAAUCUACAAAUAGGAAAGUUAAAAGUUAGGGCACAAGCUUACUAUUUUUAUCUUAUAUCAGUUGCUUUACCCAUUUUUGAUAUGAUUUUUUAAUGAAAUUUCUAAGAGGCUGUUAAACGGUAGCUUCAGUGAUACAUAGAGUUGAAAAACAGGAAAUCAUUAAUAAAUAGCUGGAACUAUAAGAAAUAACAUUGUCCUGAGAAAAACACGAUUCCUCAUAAUAAAAUAUAAUUUAUUUAAAUUAUAACAUUGUUAGUUGAUACCAGCAGUGGAAAGAAAUGAUAGAACAUUGUUAAUACCUAUGUUUUGUUUCUCUUUAUCAAAGACACAAAAACACAUUAGCUACGCUAUUUCCGUGGUUCAGAUACAAAAUGUUAUGGAAUUUAUGGGGCAGAAAAUUAUGCAGUAAAAUGUUAGAAUUGUUGUCUUCUGCCUCCUGUGCUCAAAUCUGGUGCCAAGUUUUAGCUUUUAGUAAUCAAUUAGGCUUGAAAAGGCAUUAUUCGUAUUUCUCUGAUUGUUAUAUAGUUGAUUUCUACUAAUUCAUUUUCAAAUAAAUGCUGUUGUUCUUUCUUC
Long non-coding RNA from Parus major (Great Tit), 1391 nucleotides. RefSeq lists it as uncharacterized. The transcript is spliced from 2 exons. The record is from RefSeq and is a predicted model, not a curated record. NCBI's taxonomy places the organism in Eukaryota, Metazoa, Chordata, Aves, Passeriformes, Paridae.